CCUACGGGUGGCUGCAGUGGGGAAUAUUGGACAAUGGGGGCAACCCUGAUCCAGCCAUGCCGCGUGUGUGAAGAAGGUCCUCGGGUUGUAAAGCACUUUCAGUGAGGAAGAACGCCUGGUGGUUAAUACCCAUCAGGAAAGACAUCACUCACAGAAGAAGCACCGGCUAACUCCGUGCCAGCAGCCGCGGUAAUACGGAGGGUGCGAGCGUUAAUCGGAAUUACUGGGCGUAAAGCGCGCGUAGGUGGCUUGAUAAGCCGGUUGUGAAAGCCCCGGGCUCAACCUGGGAACGGCAUCCGGAACUGUCAAGCUAGAGUGCAGGAGAGGAAGGUAGAAUUCCCGGUGUAGCGGUGAAAUGCGUAGAGAUCGGGAGGAAUACCAGUGGCGAAGGCGGCCUUCUGGACUGACACUGACACUGAGGUGCGAAAGCGUGGGUAGCAAACAGGAUUAGAUACCCGUGUAGUC
Molecule: ribosomal RNA, 465 nt
Filed under: Vreelandella stevensii
Lineage: Bacteria; Pseudomonadati; Pseudomonadota; Gammaproteobacteria; Oceanospirillales; Halomonadaceae
Description: partial 16S ribosomal RNA
Rfam family: Bacterial small subunit ribosomal RNA
Source: RNAcentral